This 804-nucleotide ribosomal RNA is filed under the name Cibicidoides wuellerstorfi. Its description in RNAcentral is "bacterial SSU rRNA". It matches the Rfam family "Eukaryotic small subunit ribosomal RNA", at positions 1313 to 1803 of the family's 1831-position model. The record is from RNAcentral. Lineage: Eukaryota; Foraminifera; Rotaliida; Anomalinidae.
GUCUGCUUAACUGCGUUUCACUAAGGGCCUAUAAAUUUACGUAUGUUGUAUCGCACUUUGACCCCUUUCUUUAAUUAGAAAGCGCGUGUCUUAGUUUCGCUUUGCUCAUACAAUUAGGUCCUGAAAGCAACGAACGUGACCGCAACCUCUUGUUGCCUUUAUACCAAACAUGUUUAUUCAUUUUUUAAUGAUCAUUCAUGAAAAAAGGCUUUUUAAACUAGAGGGACCGCUGUUACUUUCUUAAACCAGAGGAAGGUUGCGGCAAUAACAGGUCUGUGAUGCCCUUAGAUGUUCCGGGCUGCACACGUGCUACAAUGAUUAUUGCAGUGAGCAUCUCAUUUUUACACACCGCAUGCGCGAGUCCAUUUAUUUACCUUCGGGUGUUUUAAAUGUGUACCUCUGCGCGCGGUAAAGCCUGCUUCGAAAGUAAGUGGGUAAUCAAUUAGAAGUAAUGAUUGGCCUUUUUUAGCACACAUAUAACGGCGUCUAUGCCCGGGUUACCUUGUUGUAGCUUUUGUGUGUAUAGAUGUUUUUUCCGUAUGUGCGAUUGUCAAUUCAUGGUGGGGACAGACCAUUGUUAAUUGUUGGUCUCGGUCUUAACUAGGAAUGCCUUGUACGGGUCUUUGGUUCAACAAACCACCCGGAAUACGUCCCUGCCCUUUGUACACACCGCCCGUCUCUUCUACCGAUGGACUUCUCUGUGAGUUUGAGGGACUGGGAACACAGGAAUUUAUUUCUGCACACCUAUGGAAACUUAAACGAACAGUGCGGUCUAAAGGAAAGAGAAGUCGUAACAAAGGCAUA